This 352-nucleotide ribosomal RNA is filed under the name uncultured bacterium. Its description in RNAcentral is "bacterial SSU rRNA". It matches the Rfam family "Bacterial small subunit ribosomal RNA", at positions 152 to 520 of the family's 1533-position model. The record is from RNAcentral.
GGAAACGACUGCUAAUACCGCAUAAGCCCACGAUCCGGCAUCGGAUUGAGGGAAAAGGAUUUAUUCGCUUCAGGAUGGACUCGCGUCCAAUUAGCUAGUUGGUGAGGUAACGGCCCACCAAGGCGACGAUUGGUAGCCGGACUGAGAGGUUGAACGGCCACAUUGGGACUGAGACACGGCCCAGACUCCUACGGGAGGCAGCAGUGGGGGAUAUUGCACAAUGGGGGAAACCCUGAUGCAGCGACACCGCGUGGAGGAAGAAGGUUUUCGGAUUGUAAACUCCUGUCGUUAGGGACGAUAAUGACGGUACCUAACAAGAAAGCACCGGCUAACUACGUGCCAGCAGCCGCGG